GAUGAACGCUGGCGGCGUGCCUAAUACAUGCAAGUCGAGCGAACAGACGAGGAGCUUGCUCCUCUGACGUUAGCGGCGGACGGGUGAGUAACACGUGGAUAACCUACCUAUAAGACUGGGAUAACUUCGGGAAACCGGAGCUAAUACCGGAUAAUAUAUUGAACCGCAUGGUUCAAUAGUGAAAGACGGUUUUGCUGUCACUUAUAGAUGGAUCCGCGCCGCAUUAGCUAGUUGGUAAGGUAACGGCUUACCAAGGCAACGAUGCGUGGCCGACCUGAGAGAGGGAUCGGCCACACGGGAACGGAGACACGGUCCAGACUCCUACGGGAGGCAGCAGUAGGGAAUCGUCCGCAAUGGGCGAAAGCCUUACGGAGCAACGCCGCGUGAGUGAUGAAGGUCUUCGGAUCGUAAAACUCUGUUAUGAGGGAAGAACAAAUGUGUAAGUAACUAUGCACGUCUUGACGGUACCUAAUCAGAAAGCCACGGCUAACUACGUG
Molecule: ribosomal RNA, 497 nt
Filed under: uncultured bacterium
Lineage: Bacteria
Description: partial 16S ribosomal RNA
Rfam family: Bacterial small subunit ribosomal RNA
Source: RNAcentral